UACGUAGGGGGCAAGCGUUGUCCGGAAUCAUUGGGCGUAAAGCGCGUGUAGGUGGCCAAGUAGGUCCGCUGUGAAAACUUGAGGCUUAACCUCCAGCUGUCGAUGGAAACCAUCUGGCUAGAGUCCGGAAGAGGAGAGUGGAAUUCCUGGUGUAGCGGUGAAAUGCGCAGAUAUCAGGAAGAACACCCGUGGCGAAGGCGGCUCUCUGGGACGGUACUGACGCUGAGACGCGAAAGCGUGGGGAGCGAACAGG
This 253-nucleotide ribosomal RNA is filed under the name uncultured bacterium. Its description in RNAcentral is "partial 16S ribosomal RNA". It matches the Rfam family "Bacterial small subunit ribosomal RNA", at positions 524 to 776 of the family's 1533-position model. The record is from RNAcentral.